RNAcentral lists this transfer RNA (76 nucleotides) under Chloroflexota bacterium. RNAcentral describes it as "Chloroflexi bacterium tRNA-Arg". It matches the Rfam family "tRNA". Rfam says of the family: Transfer RNA (tRNA) molecules are approximately 80 nucleotides in length. Their secondary structure includes four short double-helical elements and three loops (D, anti-codon, and T loops). Further hydrogen bonds mediate the characteristic L-shaped molecular structure. tRNAs have two regions of fundamental functional importance: the anti-codon, which is responsible for specific mRNA codon recognition, and the 3' end, to which the tRNAs corresponding amino acid is attached (by aminoacyl-tRNA synthetases). tRNAs cope with the degeneracy of the genetic code in two manners: having more than one tRNA (with a specific anti-codon) for a particular amino acid; and 'wobble' base-pairing, i.e. permitting non-standard base-pairing at the 3rd anti-codon position. RNAcentral also lists the same sequence under 1 other name. The record is from RNAcentral. Lineage: Bacteria; Bacillati; Chloroflexota.
GCGCUCGUAGCUCAGUGGAUAGAGCGCUGCCCUGCGGAGGCAGAGGUCAUGGGUUCGAAUCCCGUCGAGCGCGCCA